CGCCCCUCUCAGGCCCGGAGCGAAGGGCCGACCAGGACAGCGUCACGGCUGGAGGUGACGCCGCAAGCCUUUAUGCCUUUCCUCGGGUGCUGAAGAUGAAAGAAUGCAGGCCCACGAGAGAGUUUGGCGCCGAGGAAGUAAGACGCAUGUAGGACCAGCAGGUGGUGCUUUUCUGAAACCCCGCUGCGAGAUCCAGCAGAAGCGGUUGAGCGCCUAGCUGGAUUUGGGGGUAUAGAGUAUUUGGCAAAGUACUACUUGUUCUCUUAACAAUAACAACAACAAAAAGGGCCUUCUAAGAUGUUCUAUUUUAUUCACCGUCUGAAGGGUUGAGCAAUUUAAUCAGAAAAAAUAGAUCUUAAUUUCCUUUUGGACCCAUUUUUCUUAGACUAGAGCAUAGGGGAGCUGGAGGGAGAGAUUAAGCAGCAUAAGAAUCUAAAACUAGGGGCGGCUGGGUGGCUCAGCCGGUUAAGCGGCCGACUUCGGUCAUGAUCUCGCAGUCCGUGAGUUCGAUCCCCGCGUCGGGCUCUGUGCUGACAGCUCAGAGCCUAUAGCCUGCUUCGGAUUCUGUGUCUCCCUCUCUCUCUAGCCCUCCCCCGUUUGUGCUCCUUCCUCUCUCUGUUCCCCAAAGCCAUCCUUUCAGUCACUCCUCUACUUGCCACCGUAUUUUAUUUUUUUUAUUCUCAAAACAGUUAACGUACAUUGUAGUCUUGGCUUCAGGAGUAGAACCCAGUGAUUCGUCACUUACGUAUAACACCCAGUGCUCAUCCCAACAAGUGCCCUCCUUAAUGCCCAUCACCCAUUUAACCCAGCCUCUACUCCCCUCAACCCUUAGUUUGUUCUCUAUAUUUAAGAGUCUCUUAUGGUUUGCCUCUCUCUUAUUUGUCCUAUUUUAAAUCAAUGCACCCCCUAUUCCCAGUAUUUCUUAUUCUCCUCCUUUACUUUUUUUCCUUCUAAUACUUAAAGUAUGAUUUAGUUGGCUUACUCAUCUUUAUUGUGUGUCUCUGCACACUAGAACAUAAAUUUCUCCAGGGCAGGAAUUUGUGUUUUCUUUUGUAUCCCAACUGCCAAAAAUAGAGCCUGACACAUUAGAGAAACUCUCUCUAAAUAUAUGUUGAAGGAAUGAAUAUGUGCAUACACAUUUAUAUCUCAAAUAAUAUGUAAAUGAAUACAAACUUGUUAUUUGUCAGCAAUUGCAUAUAAAGAGAAUUGGAUGUGUACAAUACUAUUCACCCAGUUUCCACCAGCCACCUGAAAGAUAGUGGUGGGUUUCUAUCUAUGAAUAAUAGAGUACAGCACCUCUUACCAUGGUCAGAAAUGUUUUGAAAGUGACUGGUUUCCAGUAUUUGUUAAAAUACCCAAACUUUCAAGUGAUUUAAAGAAAUAAAUCAGAGCCUAACAGAUACAGGGUAUCUCUGUAAUAAUAUUACUGUCACUAGCAUUCUAUUUUGCUUCAUUGAAUCAGAGGUAAAGGAGUUGCAACAGA
This is a long non-coding RNA of Neofelis nebulosa (Clouded leopard), 1483 nucleotides long. RefSeq lists it as uncharacterized. The transcript has 2 exons. NCBI's taxonomy places the organism in Eukaryota, Metazoa, Chordata, Mammalia, Carnivora, Felidae. The record is from RefSeq and is a predicted model, not a curated record.